RNAcentral lists this ribosomal RNA (443 nucleotides) under uncultured bacterium. Its description in RNAcentral is "partial 16S ribosomal RNA". It matches the Rfam family "Bacterial small subunit ribosomal RNA", at positions 338 to 795 of the family's 1533-position model. The record is from RNAcentral.
CCUACGGGUGGCUGCAGUGGGGAAUAUUGGGCAAUGGGCGCAAGCCUGAUGCAGCAACGCCGCGUGAAGGAAGAAGGCUUUCGGGUUGUAAACUUCUUUUCUCAGGGACGAAGCAAGUGACGGUACCUGAGGAAGCAGCCACGGCUAACUACGUGCCAGCAGCCGCGGUAAUACGUAGGUGGCAAGCGUUAUCCGGAUUUACUGGGGGUAAAGGGCGUGUAGGCGGGAAAGCAAGUCAGAUGUGAAAACCAUGAGCUGACCCUGUGGCCUGCAUUUGAAACUGUUGUUCUGGAGUACUGGAGAGGACGACGGAAUUCCUGGUGUAGCGGUGAAAUGCGUAGAUAUUAGGAGGAACACCAGUGGCGAAGGCGGUCUGCUGGACGGCAACUGACGCUGAGGCGCGAAAGCGUGGGGAGCAAACAGGAUUAGAUACCCGUGUAGUC